This 619-nucleotide long non-coding RNA is filed under the name Malus domestica (apple). Its description in RNAcentral is "long non-coding RNA (MDOM_LNC005321)". Lineage: Eukaryota; Viridiplantae; Streptophyta; Magnoliopsida; Rosales; Rosaceae. The record is from RNAcentral.
UCUUGCUGCAAAUCAAGGAUAUCUUUAUACAGCAGAAUGAAGAGUCUCUGUUUUAUGCGCAGACACGAAAGCUCUAUCAAUACAAGCCUUCUAGACAAUUGAACCGCUCCCGCACUACUACUCCCCACUAAAAGAGCAAUUGAUAAUCCUGAUAACCUAAACAGAGCUACAAGUAUAACAUUUCAUUGAUUCCCAGAAAAAUCCCGGCAACAAACGAAAAAUUUUUGAAAAAUUGCCAGGAAAUCCCGAACUCAAUCGCCUUCGGCCCGAAACCUGAAGUUUUUUUGUUGUUUUGAAAUUUUCAAUCUUGCAAACAACUUAAUGCAUGAAUUUCUAGGCCAAUAUUAACCAGGCAUAUAACUAUCUGUAUGAGAAGAUGAAGAGACUGCCUCAAGAAACUAACGCAUUAGCGAAACCCUAGGAGGUCGUACCCAGUGCACAAGCUCCCGCUUUACGCAGGGUCUGGGAGAGCUGAAUGUCGGCUAGCCUUACCCCCAUUUAUGGAGAGGCUGCUCCCAAGUCUCAAUCCGAGACCUACCGCUCAUGGGCGGACUUGCCAUCACACCAACUGCGACCUCACCCUAGGAGAAAGAUACAAAAUCGAAGAGAGAGAAAGAUA